Molecule: ribosomal RNA, 309 nt
Filed under: uncultured bacterium
Lineage: Bacteria
Description: bacterial SSU rRNA
Rfam family: Bacterial small subunit ribosomal RNA
Source: RNAcentral
GAUGAACGCUGGCGGCACGCCUAACACAUGCAAGUCGAACGGAGUUUUGGGAGCUUGCUCUUAAAACUUAGUGGCGGACGGGUGAGUAACACGUGAGCAACCUGCCUUUCAGAGAGGGAUAGCUUCUGGAAACGGAUGGUAAUACCUCAUAACGUACAUUUGCGGCAUCACAGGUGUAUCAAAGAUUUAUCGCUGAAAGAUGGGCUCGCGUCUGAUUAGCUAGUUGGUGAGGUAACGGCCCACCAAGGCAACGAUCAGUAGCCGGACUGAGAGGUUGAACGGCCACAUUGGGACUGAGACACGGCCCAG